Molecule: long non-coding RNA, 1142 nt
Filed under: Sinocyclocheilus anshuiensis
Lineage: Eukaryota; Metazoa; Chordata; Actinopteri; Cypriniformes; Cyprinidae
Description: lncRNA (ENSSANG00000039702.1)
Source: RNAcentral
GCAUGUGGCCCUGUCAAUCAUCUCAGUAUGUUCCUCUGUUCUACACCAUUCUCUGAAUGGUGCAAGUGUGCAUGUGACCGUACAACAGAGACCAGCCCCCUCUCUCACUCAACUACCUCUCUAAUUCCCUCUGGUGGAUCCAGCGUCUGCACUUCCAAGUACUUGGUCCAAAGAUCUAAAGAUCUUGGAUCAUUGAACCCCAUAAGAAACUGCUCCUCUUGGGUGGAUACGAACACAUUUUUUAUAAACUGACUGUAUUUGUGUGAGGGAGCGACUGCAAGAUGGUAGCUUCACAUAGCUGGCUGUUGGGGCUUAUCGUAGCUCUGCUUUGCACUGGACCGUUCGGGGAUUCUGUGCAGGCUGAAGAAAGGCUGCAAAGUGAGGAAGCCGAGGUGCUGAGCGGUCUGGACCCUACUGGAGGUGAGAAAGAGGAGGUGGCUGAUGAGGAGGAGGUUGGAGAUAUAUCUGAAGAAGUAGAUGAAGACGUGGGAGGAGAUGGGGAAGCAGAGGGAGCUGAAGAUGAAGAUGAUGGAGAGGAAGCGGUGACACCAGAAGAGGAGAUAACUAAGGAGGCAGAAUCAACUGAGGCAGAAGCUGAGGAUGAGGCAGAAGAGGGAGCAGAUGAAGAGGAACCAGCAGAGGAAGAAGAAGAGGUAGAAGUAGCAGAAGAGGAGGAGGAGGAGGAGGAUGCAGAGAAAGAGGAGGUAGAAGUAGAGGAAGGAUUAGCAGAAGAAGAGGAUUCAGCACAACAGAUAACAGAGGAAGAAGAAACAGCCGCAGAGGAUGAGGGAGCACCAGGUGAGGAAGAGGAAGAGGCAGAUGAGGAGAAUGAAACUGCUGAUGAAGAUAAUGAGGAGGCUGGAGAUGAAGGUGCAGAUGAAGAGACCACAGAUACUGUUGAAGAAACUGCCAGUGAGGAAAAUGUAGAGGGACAAGAGUUGGUCUCCACGAAGGAUGUAAUGUAUAGCUCAGGCUCUUUCUGUGCACUUUGCUCAGUCUGUGAGCACUGCGGUACCUGUGACAAAUGUCCCUGUGAGGAAGGGGACACGUCAGCACACUGCAAUCACUGCGAAGUAGGUUUUCUUCUUCUUAAUAUGAUCAAAAUUCAUAUUAAUAAAGGCCAAAUGUAUGUGGACACCUGA